CGCAUCUGUGCAUGCAGCAUAUCAAUAAGCGGAGGAAAAGAAACUAACAAGGAUUCCCCUAGUAACGGCGAGUGAGCGGGAAGAGCUCAAAUUUGAAAUCUUAAAGGGUUUCCCUUUACGAAUUGUAGUUUAAAGAAGUGUUUUCUGUUGAGGUUUUGGUAAAAGUUCUUUGGAAUAGGACAUCAUAGAGGGUGAGAAUCCCGUAUUUGACCUUUACUUUCAACUUUGUGAUACACUUUCAAAGAGUCGGAUUGUUUGGGAAUGCAGUCCAAAAUGGGUGGUAAAUUUCAUCUAAAGCUAAAUAUUGGCGAGAGACCGAUAGCGAACAAGUACCGUGAGGGAAAGAUGAAAAGAACUUUGAAAAGAGAGUUAAACAGUACGUGAAAUUGUCAAAAGGGAAGCGUUUGACACCAGUGUUGUUUUUCUGAAAAUCAAUUAAAGAACUGUUUAUGCUAAGCUGUUUAGACUUUAUCAGCUAUCUGUUUAGUUUUGAGCUUUUCUUUAAUGCACUUUUCAGUUAACAAGUCAACAUCAAUUUCUUUUGCUGUAAAAAAGCUUGAGGGAGGUGGCUUGAGAUUCGUCUUAAGUGUUUAUAGCCUCUUGCCUAUGCAGUCGGAGAGAUUGAGGUCUGCAGCGUAGAUCCUUCGGGGCUAAAUGCAUUUGUGCUAAGUUAUAGCAUUUUAUAGACAACUUGUUGACUAUGAUUUGUCUUGUAGCUUACUCGCUUAUGUUAUUUUACCUACGCUUAGGAUGUUGACAGCAGUAUAGACUGU
This 773-nucleotide ribosomal RNA is filed under the name uncultured Neocallimastigales. RNAcentral describes it as "partial large subunit ribosomal RNA". It matches the Rfam family "Eukaryotic large subunit ribosomal RNA", at positions 26 to 634 of the family's 3401-position model. The record is from RNAcentral. Lineage: Eukaryota; Fungi; Neocallimastigomycota; Neocallimastigomycetes; Neocallimastigales.